GCACCUCUAAACUUUGUUAUGAAAUGUAAUUUUGGUGUUGAAAUUUUUUAGGAUGUGAGUAUUUAUUUUCGUAUAUAAUUUUAAUAUUUUAAACUUUUAAAAUGGUUCAAAUCAAAUUGGUCUAUAAACACAUGAAAUUAUUGAAAAUAGGCUGUCUAGAUAACGUAUUGCAAGAUGUAUUAUUUUUUGGACUUGAAAUCCUUUUUCAUUUCUUCCAUAUUCAUACUUCUUGAUGUUGAAAUAGCCUUUUUUUUUUUUUUUUAAGGGAUUUCUGAGGAGCAUCUUAAUUCUACAUUUUAAAAUGUGUAAACUUUUUCCAAAUAAUUAACAAGGCCAAAACCCGGCAGCAUAAACUUCCAAUCCUCCCAUAUUUGAUAUAUAUAUCUCUCUCUAUUUCUUGAAUUGGAAGUAGAAAUAAGGCAAAAAGAUUCUAUGCUCCUAUGGGAGUAUGUUAUCCAUUUGAACCCUCGGGUAAAGCCUAGAAGUAUCUUUUUGGACCCCAAAUCUUGGGCAUGUAACCUCAUCAAGCC
This 530-nucleotide long non-coding RNA is filed under the name Amborella trichopoda. RNAcentral's name for it is "long non-coding RNA (ATRI_LNC003483)". The record is from RNAcentral. Lineage: Eukaryota; Viridiplantae; Streptophyta; Magnoliopsida; Amborellales; Amborellaceae.